Non-coding RNA from Aedes albopictus (Asian tiger mosquito), 74 nucleotides. The record is from Rfam. Lineage: Eukaryota; Metazoa; Arthropoda; Insecta; Diptera; Culicidae.
UGUUCUGUGGCAUAGUUGGUUAAAGCACUGAUCGAGCUUUAGCGGUGUCGUGGGUUCGAAUCCCACCAGAAUGC